ACAGGGGUUGCAAGCGUUGUUCGGAUUUAUUGGGCGUAAAGGGUCCGUAGGCGGUUUGGAAAGUCGGGUGUGAAAUCCUACAGCUUAACUGUAGAACUGCAUUCGAAACUCCCAGACUAGAGUAUGAGAGGGGUUAAGGGAAUUCCCGGUGUAAGGGUGAAAUCUGCAGAGAUCGGGAGGAACACCAGUCGCGAAGGCGCUUAACUGGCUCAUUACUGACGCUCAGGGACGAAAGCUAGGGUAGCAAACGGGA
Molecule: ribosomal RNA, 253 nt
Filed under: uncultured prokaryote
Description: partial 16S ribosomal RNA
Rfam family: Bacterial small subunit ribosomal RNA
Source: RNAcentral